GAUGAAAGAUGGAGGAGGGAAGAAUACAGGCAAGUCGAGCGAACAGACGAGGAGCUUGCUCCUCUGACGUUAGCGGCGGACGGGUGAGUAACACGGGGAUAACCUACCUAUAAGACUGGGAUAACUUCGGGAAACCGGAGCUAAUACCGGAUAAUAUAUUGAACCGCAUGGUUCAAUAGUGAAAGACGGUUUUGCUGUCACUUAUAGAUGGAUCCGCGCCGCAUUAGCUAGUUGGUAAGGUAACGGCUUACCAAGGCAACGAUGCGUAGCCGACCUGAGAGGGUGAUCGGCCACACUGGAACUGAGACACGGUCCAGACUCCUACGGGAGGCAGCAGUAGGGAAUCUUCCGCAAAGGGCGAAAGCCUGACGGAGCAACGCCGCGUGAGUGAUGAAGGUCUUCGGAUCGUAAAACUCUGUUAUUAGGGAAGAACAAAUGUGUAAGUAACUAUGCACGUCUUGACGGUACCUAAUCAGAAAGCCACGGCUACCUACGUG
Molecule: ribosomal RNA, 497 nt
Filed under: uncultured bacterium
Lineage: Bacteria
Description: partial 16S ribosomal RNA
Rfam family: Bacterial small subunit ribosomal RNA
Source: RNAcentral